UUUGGAGUGCCAGAUUUUAUGGGUGUGAUUUAGGAUUAUAUUAAGGUUGGUUUAACCCUCUGGCG
This 65-nucleotide transfer RNA is filed under the name Echinostoma sp. JM-2019. Its description in RNAcentral is "tRNA-Leu". Lineage: Eukaryota; Metazoa; Platyhelminthes; Trematoda; Plagiorchiida; Echinostomatidae. The record is from RNAcentral.